Long non-coding RNA from Columba livia (rock pigeon), 4732 nucleotides. RefSeq lists it as uncharacterized. NCBI's taxonomy places the organism in Eukaryota, Metazoa, Chordata, Aves, Columbiformes, Columbidae. The record is from RefSeq and is a predicted model, not a curated record. The transcript is spliced from 2 exons.
AAUUUGUCCUCGGUCCAGCUGGGUGCGGCUGCUUAGAUCACGUUGUGUAUGAGGCUGGGAACUAAAAGCAGGGCUUUAUUUGAGGUGCUCGUCACAUCAGCAGAACAGGAAUGAGUAAACUGAUACUGAUUUAAAAGUUAACCCUCUUUUUCGUGUGAGCAGUAAACCAACGUUUUCCUGAAAACAGUAGCUCUGAAACUGUCUAUUUUUUCCCUUGAAAUUGCAUUAGCAACAUUAAUUGAACCAAACUGCUACUCUGAUGUCAGUAAGUAAAUAUUUUCAGAACUCUUUUAUCAAUGAAAAAGCUGAAGCAGAGGGCUGAACUGCCUGACCAAAAACUACAGAACAGAUAGGGUUCAGCUCUGAAAUUAGCAAACAAGCCUUUCUUUCCUAAUUAUGUGUUCGUAAUUCUUGCAAAAAAAAAAAAAAAGACUAUUUUCCUCAUUCCAGUUCACUUUCUUAUAGAUAAAUCAGAUCACAGAUGACUCUAUCUGGAUUCCUAACUGGUGCCUCACAGCAACAAAACUGAUGUCUCCUCCCCAUAUUUAAAAAAAAAGAAAAAGGUCCAGAAAGUACUUUAUUUGAAUCAUCUUCCUGGAUAUUUAUUCCAUGAAUUUGGUCAUGCAGGUAAAAUGUUUUGGCUCCAUGUUUCCUAGAUGUUCCUGAUUUCUAGAUUAUAUGCUAUUCUUUAGUUGUAACUUCACAUUAAUAGAGUUUAUAUUAAUCCUUGAUAAGGUUUAUCAUCUCUAUUUUGUAAUCUCAACAUUUCCUCUUUCCCAGAAAACUGUCACCUUGCUCCUUACCCGCUCAGCGUGAUUUUGGGUAACACAAUGUCCUGUAACACUCCGGUGUGAUCCCCCUUUUGUUGUGUUUGUGAUUCCUUACACACGGCUGAGCUUUAUGUUCGCCUCUGGCUGUUGCACUGCGAAUGUAUUGUAGGUGCUGUGACUGGGUCAUGAGCAGCUUUGUUUGCUAAAGGUAGAACUGGGUACGUCCCGUCAUCGUUUAGGUCAACUGGGUUUCGUUCAUCCAUCGGGAAUGUGCGGCGCUGAAACGAGCAGGUGGACGUUUGUGAGCAUAUGACUGAUGAGCAGUACAGCGCGUUCACUUGCCGGCCGGAGACUCGUCAGAGUGACAAGUUGGAGCCGUAGAACAUAGAGAUGACUCAUGGCUGGAGCUUUAUGUAAAUGAGGAACCUCUUCUGUUGCACCCUGUUGUACCAAUGAGGCCACGUAAAGUUCACGUCAGCGACGUUGUGUUCUCAUGUCCCCCAGUCUUUGAGGCAGGGCAGGGAUGUGGGGUAAGGGAGGCGUAGUUCCCCCUGAGAGGGCAACAGGUCAGAACUGGUGGUGAAUGUGAAUGUGAAUGUGAAACCCCUGGAACUGAAGGUUCCUUUCCAGCAGCAAUGCCUGGAGAAAGUUUGCUGUUGCCUUUUGCUGUCAAUUGAAAAAGUGAUCGAGCCUCUUGCCACUGACUAAAUUCUGAGGGGGAGCCAGAUAAGAGGGAAGCAGUGAAGUUAGGGGAAGCUGUGAAUUCAAGCGAAGCAUUCUCUCCCUGGCAAUCAAUCAGCUUCAGUAAGAUUUAUGGGUCAUCUAUGAUGUGACUAAUAAACUCGUUUAGCUUACCCAAAGCACAAGAAAGAGUCCUGCUGCUCAGCGGGAUCACACUGGGUAUCCUCUCCGAAUGGGCUCGUGUAGGCAGCGUGUCCCAGGCAAGAGCAAUGAGGAGGAGUGGAAGCGUGAAAAAGCAAUGCAGUUGAAUUGUGUCUACCCAAAGCCACAGACAAUAUUAUUCCAGGUGAGGGGCCAAAUUCUCUGACUCACCCUCACAAAAAUCAUGCUGAAGUUUACUGAAGACCAUGGAAUUAAUCUAAGGUGAAACUAAUAUGAGAAGGAAGAAUGCCAACCUCCAAAACGUUGACCUCCCUAGCUGUCGUAUUUCCAGGGUGCCGUGACUCACGUGUGUGUAUUUUCCUGGCAGAUACAGCAUGCCCCGAAUACUGCAGGUGACUGCAGAGAGCCGAAAGGUGUGAAAAAGUCGACAAACUGGAAAGGAUUUGUCUUGUGUUAGAUGUGUUGUUUAAAAUCAGAAGCAAGAUUUAAUUGACUCUAGUGGGAGUUUUGCUUAAGUAAGGACUUAGGAGCUGAAAUGGGACAUGAAACAAAAAUCUACCUUGCUAGCCCAGAGCUCACAGAAGAGCGACUCCCUUUAUUUACUCUAUGUAAUUCUGUUCAGACAGAUGCAAGGAACUUCCCUCAAGUCAUUUCUGAGCCCACAUCAGUUUUUCUCAGUAUUCAGCACGUUUCUUUUUUCUGUAUGAUUCUGUUCCUUUAUAUGUAGAUAUUAUCUGACUGAGACACUAUACAAAAUUUUUCUCAUCUUUUACAGUCAUCCUAAUUUGAUAAUGCUCAGUACACUUAGUUUAUUUACCUUUGUCUCAUUUUUUUCCUUUUCUAAUUGGUUCAGACAUCCACAUGUGGCAACCAGUCCUACCUAUUCUAGCCUUACUCGUUCUAGUAUUGCAGCUCCAGAGUGAACAUGUGCUUUGACUUCCAGAGAAGUCUGCAGUAAACUUCCCAGACAGGUGAUGGAUUGAUUCACUUCUCAUGCAGUGUAAAGGUCAGUCUUAUGAUGAGAAGAGUUCCUCCAUGAACUAAGUCCUUCAUGUAUUUUUGCUCUUUCCAUCGCCUAUUCUCCGCUCUGUCCCACAAUGUGAGGGCUGAUAAUUACGCUCUUUUCAAUGGCGCAUCUCCCAAUCCAUUGAAGGUAGGACUUUUUUCUCAGCAGAGAGCUGACUCAUAAGGUGUGCUGCCUUCUAUCUUUAGAAAAAGUGAGUCACUAAUGCAUUUUUCAUUAUACAUUCAAGUACCAUAGAAUGAAAUUUUGUCCUACCAGUCUAGUCCUGAGGUAGGAUUUGGAAGUCUUUAUGAUUUGGUGUUUUAGUUAUGUCUCAGUGAGGCUCUGUGAGAUACAAUAGAAGCUGUACUAGGAGCUGGGUUUUAUUAUAUGGUAUGAACAUUCCAAUUAACUUCAGUAGUGCCGUGGUUUCACUCUUUGUGUGCUUCCCUGGCUACAAAACCACAAAACUCUCUUUACACCUGCAUCAUGGCAUGCUCAGCGUCUCUUUUCACCCAACACAAAUAGUUUACAGUUGUUUUUCAGAGCUGUGUGAAAGCUGAGGAGGCUGGGACAUCACUAAAAUAAUAUGAAUCCCAUUGGUACUAUUGCAUUAAUAGAAAUAAUCCUUCUUUUCAAGCAACACUAAUUUGAUGAUCUUUCAGACACCCAGUGAAUAUUCACCAGUUCUCACGGUGGCCCAUAACAGAAAGCUAAACGCUGAUAUUUCUGUUUGAUAAACAAGGGAAUUAAGGUUGAGGAAGAUUAAGCUGUGGUGGGGAAGCAAUGGAAGUGUUGUGCAUGGAACCCAGGAGUCCUGCACUUUUGUUUUUUUCCAAUCCAACAAUAUAUUGUAUAAAAAAUGUUGUUGUAUUUAUGGUCACUGCUUUUUGACUUUGAGUGAUGUUAAUGUGGAUGAGCAUCUGGCAGAACCUGUGUAGAGCUGCAACGUAGUCUGCAGUUCACAGGAGGGUACCAGCUUUUGCCUGCCCGUGUUGUACUCUGUUAAAUCAGCUUUGCAGGGCAUUUUGAGUGAGGGGGUGGGGUCUGAAUGUCUCCGGUGCUGGCAGGAGCUGUUAUUUAGAACUGUAUGACAAAAAUGCAAAAAAGGAUGCUGUUAGGGUGGUUGCUUUGUUCUUCGUUACACAAAAGUGGAUAUGCUGCAAUGACGAGUUUGUAAAUCGUAGUUAGUUCCGUUCUCACACCACCCAAUAACCUCACAGUCCGUCAACUUCCUGGAGACCUUGGGAAGCUAUAAUUUGUGAUAAAAAAUGGGAGUUAGAAUGUUACGUGUAUAUCAAAGCUGAAAAUUUGCGGCUGGCUGACCUUUUCAUUUUGAGCACAUGCACUCAUUUCCUUUAUGUUGCUUACUGUUUCCCUCUCAAGCUUGGCAUAAUAGGAAAUCCUCCAUGAUUGUUCUCCUUAAUCAGUGGCUCCAUUGUGCCGGGCCCGUUCCUUUCCACCAGCAUGCAGAGGGUCUUGCCGAGCUCGGAAUGGGGCAUCGCUCCCUGUGCUCUCAAGCAUCAGUGCCCCAGAAACUCAGACGUUUCAGUUCAGCUGCCACGGGUGAGAGAAAACACGAGCGGUGUGUGCUAAAUUCAGAAUGCUGUCGGAAUAAGGAAACAGCCCACUGAUUUUUAGAAAGAAAAAGAAAAGCGAGCACUGAGUGGAUUUUACAGUGAUAUUUCCCUGUGUUUGUGACUAGGCUUUGAUGAAUAAUGAAAAUGAAGAGGUUGUACAUUUAGAUUUUCCUUUGUUUCCGUAUGUGGGGUAAUGCCAUUUGUUGUCAUGACGGUGCUAAUAUUCACAAAGCCAUCUGACAAUUAUAAAGAAGGUGCACAAAUCUCUCCGGCAAGAAACUUCUCCAGGAAUAUAUUUGGAAAUGCCUACUAAUUAUGAUGAGCACAUCGUUUUUCAUUCUCUGAUUAAUUUCUCUUUGUCAUCCAGUCAAGUGACAGAAAUUCUAUGUUGUGACCACCCACCGCAAACCGCAGGGGGUGUAGCAUUUGUAUACACGCUUCUUGCUAAAAAUUAGGCAAGUCCUUAGAAAUAAAAGAUGUAUUAGCAAUAGCUUAAAGCAGUUUGUGAAAUAAACGAAGGGCUAAAAAAGAUCAUU